RNAcentral lists this long non-coding RNA (888 nucleotides) under Homo sapiens (human). RNAcentral describes it as "HSALNT0326055". The record is from RNAcentral. Lineage: Eukaryota; Metazoa; Chordata; Mammalia; Primates; Hominidae.
GCUCUCAGGCCUCCGCCCGGGCCCUCUAAGCUGCCAGCCGCGCCCGCCUCCGGGCUCCUCGCCCCUCCUCCCGCGCGCUCCCCUCCUCAGCGGCCGCCGGACCCCCUCAGUUCACUUCUCCCAGUUAACGCGUUCCUCGGACGCUGCUAGUUUGAGCGCACAGGCAUUGGGCGGGGCUCACGGGGGAGCCGCUUAAUAACCGACCAACAUGAAACUCAAGGGCUGCCCCUUCCUAGCGGGGACCCUGCACAGACCCGAAAAUAAGGGGUUUUGCUCUGCCCUCCUCAGUUCACGUGGGCACCUUGGAACACUGAAGAAGGCAUUUUCCGAACUCACUGUCCUACGGACUUAUUCUCCGCACUGUUUUCGCCUCCUUCGCCCUGUUCUCGUGACUGACAGGAGCAGGGGUCACAAGCAGGCAGCCCGAGAGCUCUGCUCACCUGGAAAAGCAUUUUUGUGUAGCUUAAAUGUGAAGGCCUCAGGCAGUGGCCUGUUGUCCUCCUCCACAUGCGCCCAUCUUCACUCUUUCAUGUGACUGGCCUGUUUUUGAAGGCAGGACCCUGUCACCCUUGGCUAGGCCAGGUCUUAAGAUAUGAAGACAAUGGGAUAACUGAGGCUGAUUUUGCUGUGUGGCCAUUAGACCUAGAAAUAUUGGUGUGAUUCUGGAGUUGAUUGCUCCACACGUUUAUUUAUUUAUUUUCCUUUUUUUCCCUCCUCUUCCUCCUCCUCUAUUCUUUAAAAACGUAUGGAAAUGUAUCCGGCAAUGUUUACUGUAAAAAAUAAUGUAUGGAAAUGACUACAAUUUGCUAAAAUAAAAAUCAUUGAGCACUUAUGUGUGUCAGACACUAUGCUAGGUAUAAAGAGGGGAAGAUGGUGUCCCUAUUCAAA